AAGAAGAUUCGGGUAGUUAAAAAAAAAAAAGAGAAAAAUAUUGGAAAAAUAUAGCGAUAAUUGGCAUUUAAGUGACAAAACUUAAAGGCAUUUCAUGCUGUCACUGUUAUCAUCAUCGCCUCAAUACAUUUACAAUAAAAAGCACUUUCACUACCACAUCUGUAUUGAUAAACUUUAUUCAUUCCCUACUCUCAUCUCUAAUUAUCAACGCUAUCGCCAUCCGACGUCAUCAAGUUCUUCAUACAUGUAAAUAUACAUAUAUACAUAUAAAUGUAUAUACAUAUAUAUGUAUAUAUAAAUGACGCUACAGAGAAGAUAUACGUAACUGUUAUACAUCUAUAAAUAAUCGUUAAGACCUCAUAACGAAGAUAUCAUCUGAAUCCAUCCAAACGAUUAUCGUACGUAAUAGAAAAACGAUCGAAAUAUUUGUUUGUGAAUUGUGUGCAAAAGCAAUCUCAUUGAAUUAGUGUAAUUGCCACGCAUUACGCAAACACACCACCAAACAUAUAAUAAUAAUAAUAAUGAGUGUUUGGAAACGUAUUGCAUGCAAUCCAGAAGCUAAACAGUCUAUGAUACAAUACUACGAUGAGAAGGGCCUGGCCGACGUACGCGUAUGCUUAGCACCAUGGAUUGAGGAGCGUAUUAUUUCUGAUCGCAAUACCACAUCAACUGAAAUAUACGAACGCGUUGCUCAUCGAUUUUAUGAGGAUCUCAAACAGAGACUCGUACAAUUGGGCAACGGUAAUUUGAUGAAAUUUAAAAUUAACGAAAUUUGCACAAGUGUAACACAAACAUCAGCCGUGGAUCUAUACGCACAUUUACGUAACGGUCUUCAGCGUGAACUGCAGCUGUUGGACCAAAUGCCGCAAUAUCCUUAUAUGGCUGGCGUGGGCGUUAAUGGUAGCACUAGCGCGAGCAUGAUUGGCGGUAAUAGUACAGUUGUGAUGCCAGCCAUGCAUACACCAACAAUUCAUGGCACUGGUAAUGGCAGCUCAUAUAGUGGCGAUGCUUUGUAUGCAGCUCACAAUCAUAUUCAUAAUUUAAAUCUAAGCAUUACACGCGUGUUUACCGAGUUGCAACAAUUUCGUGCUAGUUAUGAGACAUUUCAUGGCUGCUUUAAUACCUAUAAUCAACGUAAAGCUGUAAUGUCAUCUCAAGAAUUGCAAACAACCGAUUUGCAAUUAAAGGAACAAUGUACCAUAUUGGCGAGCAGUCGUAACAAUAUUUUACACGAUUUGCGACGUAUCAUUACCGAAUACGACUCAAUACAGGAAACUGUGAUAAAUGAACUAAAAAAUUGGCAACACAAUCAGGCAUUGGCAGGCAAUGGUGCACCGUUCCGUGAUAAUCUUGAUGACAUUCAACGUUGCAUUGAACUAUUGGUCGAGACAGUUGGCAAAAUUCUAGAUAUUGUAAAUAUAUUACAACCUUUGAGAAUUGAUAAUAACGACGACAUGAGUGAAUUGAUUACCCACGUACGCAGUGCACAACAAUUGUUGGUAUUAUCGUCAUUUAUUGUAGAAAAACAACCGCCACAGGUUAUGAAAACCAACACCAGAUUUGCUGCUGCUGUGCGAUGGCUUAUUGGUCCACAGUUGGGUAUAAGCGUCAACAAUCCAUCCGUCGAGUGCAUAAUACUAUCAGAGGCUCAAGCUCAGCGUCAUUCUGCGCAGCGUACUAUGUCGGAAGCCUCGACCAGUACACCGGCUUCCUCUGGGGAAAUUGUUAAUAACAUUGGCACUAUGGAGUAUAAUAGUCAGACUCGGGUAUUUUCAGCGAGUUUCAGAACAAUGCAAUUGAAAAAAAUAAAACGAGCCGAAAAAAAGGGCACUGAAAGCGUAAUGGAUGAAAAGUUUGCUUUACUGUUCUACACAUCAGUGAUAGUUAAUGAUUAUAGAAUAAGGGUCUGGACUCUAUCAUUACCGGUAGUGGUUAUAGUUCACGGCAAUCAAGAACCUCAAUCAUGGGCUACCAUCACUUGGGACAAUGCUUUCUCAGAUAUUGUGCGUGAGCCUUUCCAAGUACCCGAAAGGGUGUCGUGGUCUCAAUUAGCAUUGGCUUUAAAUACAAAAUUUGAAUCGUCCACGGGUCGUGCUUUAACCGAAGAUAACUUACAUUUUAUUUAUGAGAAACUAUUCCGUCAUAACGGUAUAGCUGGAGGUGAUCAUAAAGAUUACAUAACGUGGGCUCAAUUCUGCAAGGAACCAUUACCCGAUCGUACGUUUACAUUUUGGGAUUGGUUUUUUGCUAUCAUGAAACUAACCAAAGAUCAUUUGUUAAGCCUUUGGAAGGCUGGUUUAAUUGUUGGAUUUAUUAAUAAGCGUAAAGCUGAUGAGCUAUUGCGGGUAUCGCCACCAGGCACAUUCCUAUUGCGCUUCUCGGACAGUGAAUUGGGUGGUAUUACUGUAGGUUUAGUGAAUGACCAAAAUUCAGUUUUAAUGUUAUCACCGUGGACCGCUCGUGAUUUAAAUAUACGUUGUCUUGCUGAUCGCAUACACGAUAUCGAUGCUUUGCGUUGCGUUUAUCCGUCAAAUCGUCAACGCGACGAUGCUUUUGGCGAAUUUUAUACACAAAGAAUGGAUGAGACAACACGUCGUGACGGAUACGUAACGAAUACUAUAAAAGCUCAUGUGCCAGCUAUUGAAAAUAAUUUAAGUGGAACACCACAGCAUCAGAUACAAUCGCCGCAUUCACAGGACGUGACAAUGGAAAGCUCUGCUGUGUGCAAUAACAUUACCACUGAAGAUCUCGAUAUGCUUAUCAAUGGAGCGAAUUUUAAUAUUGCAGAUGUUAAUUGGGAAAUGUAUUGAAAUAUAUGCGCAUAAGGGUGCGCAUGCUUAAAAUGCCUAGAAAAAAAAGUCUGAUCAUGUCAAAAAUGUUUACGAAUGAAUGUCUAAAUAAACUAAUAAUAAUUAUAAUUAAGCAUUAUAUAUUCAUUAUCGCUAUUUUCUCUUCCUUGGUGGCGGAAAACGCGAACAAUUGACGUAUUAAGCGACGUAUAUUCUCAACAUUCUCAAUUGGCUGAAGUGAAAAUCUAAACUUUACGGACUAUGACUUUUCGAAAUUAUUUUGAAUGUUAUGGAUUUAUAAAUUUACAUAUAUUUAUGUAUAUAUAUACAUACAUAUUUACACGCAUAUAUGAAACGAUUACCGCUAUUGCAACACCAACCAACAACAGCUACCGCUUUACAAGAAUGACGUCCAUUAAAUCGACGAGCAAAUGAAGAUUACGAAAUUUCUGACAAAGAUGUAAGAAUUAACUACGAAAAAUAAAAUUCCUCCUCACUCACCUAUGAAUACAUCUACUAUCGCUCGAGAAACUUUCGUUCACGGUGCACUUGAAUAAUUAAGAUGAAGAAUAAUUUUAAAGUGCUUUUAAAAGCGUUCUUGACUUUUUUUUUUUUUACACGCGUUUUUCAUUUUCUUUUAUGAAGAUGAAAUAUUUCAUCUUAUGAAAUAUAUAUCUCUGCGUAUUUUACUCUACUCUUUUAAAGUACUGAGAGCAUAAUAUUAGACUAAUUUAAAAAAUAUAUAUAUUAAUUUUUUUUUUUUUUGUUUUUUUCUUUAAAUCGUGCAUAGAAAUCCUAAGGAAAAAAUUGAUGGAAUGAAUAUAUAAGAAGUUUUUAUAAAAAUUACUGAAUAAAAAUGAAACGAAAUGAAAUGAAAAUAAAAUAAAACAGAAUAAUAAUUGUUGCUCUUGCCGCUUCGCCUUUAUUUAAAUUUUUUCUUCUAAAUAAUGAAUUUCAAAAUUCUCUCUCUCUCGUUCUUUGUUGCAAUCCGUAUGAAACCCAUUACUGACAAAUAAAAUAACGAAAAAAA
RNA transcript from Glossina fuscipes, 3819 nucleotides. It is a transcript of the gene named signal transducer and transcription activator-like, with no coding region annotated. The transcript is spliced from 11 exons. The record is from RefSeq and is a predicted model, not a curated record. Lineage: Eukaryota; Metazoa; Arthropoda; Insecta; Diptera; Glossinidae.